This 107-nucleotide transfer RNA is filed under the name Candidatus Heimdallarchaeota archaeon LC_2. RNAcentral's name for it is "tRNA-Asn". It matches the Rfam family "tRNA". From Rfam's summary of the family: Transfer RNA (tRNA) molecules are approximately 80 nucleotides in length. Their secondary structure includes four short double-helical elements and three loops (D, anti-codon, and T loops). Lineage: Archaea; Promethearchaeati; Candidatus Heimdallarchaeota. The record is from RNAcentral.
GUCGCUGUAGCUUAGCCCGGAAGAGCAAUCGGCUGUUAAACAUAGUCUAUUAUCAACCGGCUUCUAUUGAAACCGAUAGGUCGCAGGUUCAAAUCCUGCCAGCGACG